This 468-nucleotide ribosomal RNA is filed under the name uncultured bacterium. RNAcentral's name for it is "partial 16S ribosomal RNA". It matches the Rfam family "Bacterial small subunit ribosomal RNA", at positions 28 to 507 of the family's 1533-position model. The record is from RNAcentral.
GAUGAACGCUGGCGGCGUGCUUAACACAUGCAAGUCGAACGGAAAGGCCCUGCCUUUGUUGGGUGCUCGAGUGGCGAACGGGUGAGUAACACGUGAGUAACCUGCCCUGCACUUUGGGAUAACUUCAGGAAACUGGGGCUAAUACCGGAUAGGAGCUCCUGUUGCAUGGUGUGGGGUGGAGAGUUUCGGCGGUUGGGGAUGGACUCGCGGCUUAUCCGCUUUUUGGUGGGGUAGUGGCUUACCAAGGCUUUGAGGGGUAGCCGGCCUGAGAGGGUGACCGGCAACAUUGGGACUAGGUUAGGGCCCAGACUCCAACGGGGGGCAGCAGUGGGAAAAAUUGCCCAAUGGGCGGAAGCCGGAUGCAGCAACGCCGGGGGCGGAAUGACGGCCUUCGGGUGUAAAACCGCUUUCGCCUGGGACGAAGCGUGAGUGACGGUAAUGGGUGAAGAAGCACCGGCUAACUACGUG